RNAcentral lists this ribosomal RNA (768 nucleotides) under Ceroptres sp. FSU 399. Its description in RNAcentral is "eukaryotic LSU rRNA". It matches the Rfam family "Eukaryotic large subunit ribosomal RNA", at positions 601 to 1138 of the family's 3401-position model. Lineage: Eukaryota; Metazoa; Arthropoda; Insecta; Hymenoptera; Cynipidae. The record is from RNAcentral.
UGUGCACGGAGCAGACCCCCGGAUACCCGACCAACUGCCCGGCGGUAAUCGCACGGUAUCGGGCCGCACUUUGUGCGUCGGGCCCGUCGCAAGCGAGAUCAGUGUUACCCGNAUGUGCGGACCUAGUGCCGUCGCCGGGCCUGCUCAGCUGUUGGUCGACGGUGUUCUCGGACUGGCUCAAACAAAUUAUGUUACCGGUCGGCGACGCUACUGCUUUGGGUACUUUCAGGACCCGUCUUGAAACACGGACCAAGGAGUCUAACAUGUGCGCGAGUCAUUGGGACUGCAAAACCUAAAGGCGUAAUGAAAGUGAAGGUCGACCUUGCGUCGACUGAGGGAGGAUGGGUUGCGUUACGAUGCAGCCCCGCACUCCCGGGGCGUCUCGUACUCAUUGCGAGUAGAGGCGCACCCAGAGCGUACACGUUGGGACCCGAAAGAUGGUGAACUAUGCCUGGUCAGGACGAAGUCAGGGGAAACCCUGAUGGAGGUCCGUAGCGAUUCUGACGUGCAAAUCGAUCGUCGGAACUGGGUAUAGGGGCGAAAGACUAAUCGAACCAUCUAGUAGCUGGUUCCCUCCGAAGUUUCCCUCAGGAUAGCUGGCACUCGCGUGAGCGAGUCUCAUCUGGUAAAGCGAAUGAUUAGAGGCCUUGGGGCCGAAACGACCUCAACCUAUUCUCAAACUUUAAAUGGGUGAGAUCUCUGGCUUGCUUAAACAGUGAAGCCACGAGAUUUUUCAAUACGGAUCAGAGUGCCAAGUGGGCCAAUUUU